RNAcentral lists this ribosomal RNA (490 nucleotides) under uncultured bacterium. RNAcentral's name for it is "partial 16S ribosomal RNA". It matches the Rfam family "Bacterial small subunit ribosomal RNA", at positions 30 to 507 of the family's 1533-position model. The record is from RNAcentral.
AUUGAACGCUGGCGGCAGGCCUAACACAUGCAAGUCGAACGGCAACAGGAAGAAGCUUGCUUCUUUGCUGACGAGUGGCGGGCGGGUGAGUAAUGUCUGGGAAACUGCCUGAUGGAGGGGGAUAACUACUGGAAACGGUAACUAAUACCGCAUAACGUCGCAAGACCAAAGAGGGGGAGCUUUGGGCCUCUUGCCAUCGGAUGUGCCCCGAUGGGAUUAGCUAGUAGGUGGGGUAACGGCUCACCUAGGCGACGAUCCCUAGCUGGUCUGAGAGGAUGACCAGCCACACUGGAACUGGGACACGGUCCAGACUCCUACGGGAGGCAGCAGUGGGGAAUAUUGGACAAUGGGCGCAAGCCUGAUGCAGCCAUGCCGCGUGUAUGAAGAAGGCCUUCGGGUUGUAAAGUACUUUCAGCGGGGAAGAAGGGAGUAAAGUUAAUACCUUGGCUUAUUGACGUUACCCGCAGAAGAAGCACCGGCUAACUCCGUG